RNAcentral lists this ribosomal RNA (497 nucleotides) under uncultured bacterium. RNAcentral's name for it is "partial 16S ribosomal RNA". It matches the Rfam family "Bacterial small subunit ribosomal RNA", at positions 28 to 507 of the family's 1533-position model. The record is from RNAcentral.
GAUGAACGCUGGCGGCGUGCCUAAUACAUGCAAGUCGAGCGAACGGACGAGAAGCUUGCUUCUCUGAUGUUAGCGGCGGACGGGAGAGUAACACGUGGAUAACCUACCUAUAAGACUGGGAUACCUUCGGGAAACCGUAGCUAAUACCGGAUAAUAUUUUGAACCGCAUGGUUCAAAAGUGAAAGACGGUAUUGCUGUCACUUAUAGAUGGAUCCGCGCUGCAUUAGCUAGUUGGUAAGGUAACGGCUUACCAAGGCAACGAUGCAUAGCCGACCUGAGAGGGUGAUCGGCCACACGGGAACUGAGGCACGGUCCAGACUCCUGCGGUGAGCAGCAGUAGGGAAUCUUCCGGGAGGGACGAGAGCGUGACAGUGCAACACGGCGUAAGGGAUGAAGGUCUUCGGAUCGGAAAACUCUGUAGUUAGUGAGGAUCAAAAGUGUAAGUAACUGUGCACAUCUUGACGGUACCUGAACAGAAAGCCACGGCUAACUACGUG